RNAcentral lists this ribosomal RNA (460 nucleotides) under uncultured bacterium. Its description in RNAcentral is "partial 16S ribosomal RNA". It matches the Rfam family "Bacterial small subunit ribosomal RNA", at positions 338 to 795 of the family's 1533-position model. The record is from RNAcentral.
CCUACGGGAGGCAGCAGUGAGGAAUAUUGGUCAAUGGACGAGAGUCUGAACCAGCCAAGUAGCGUGAAGGAUGACUGCCCUAUGGGUUGUAAACUUCUUUUAUAUGGGAAUAAAACGUUCCACGUGUGGGAUUUUGUAUGUACUAUAUGAAUAAGGAUCGGCUAACUCCGUGCCAGCAGCCGCGGUAAUACGGAGGAUCCGAGCGUUAUCCGGAUUUAUUGGGUUUAAAGGGAGCGUAGAUGGGUUGUUAAGUCAGUUGUGAAAGUUUGCGGCUCAACCGUAAAAUUGCAGUUGAUACUGGCAGUCUUGAGUACAGUAGAGGUAGGCGGAAUUCGUGGUGUAGCGGUGAAAUGCUUAGAUAUCACGAAGAACUCCGAUUGCGAAGGCAGUUCACUGAACUGCAACUGACACUGAGGCUCGAAAGUGUGGGUAUCAAACAGGAUUAGAUACCCGAGUAGUC